Molecule: transfer RNA, 74 nt
Organism: Roseivivax jejudonensis
Lineage: Bacteria; Pseudomonadati; Pseudomonadota; Alphaproteobacteria; Rhodobacterales; Roseobacteraceae
Rfam family: tRNA
About the family: Transfer RNA (tRNA) molecules are approximately 80 nucleotides in length. Their secondary structure includes four short double-helical elements and three loops (D, anti-codon, and T loops).
Source: Rfam
GCACCCGUAGCUCAGCUGGAUAGAGCGCUGCCCUCCGAAGGCAGAGGCCAAAGGUUCGAAUCCUUUCGGGUGCG